Molecule: ribosomal RNA, 2073 nt
Filed under: Triticum aestivum (bread wheat)
Lineage: Eukaryota; Viridiplantae; Streptophyta; Magnoliopsida; Poales; Poaceae
Description: partial small subunit ribosomal RNA
Source: RNAcentral
ACAGAAUAUUUUAAAAAGCUUUUUACCUCAGAGAUCGAGCAACCUAAUCAGGAUGUGUUAUCACUGGUAAAGAGGAGAGUAUCUACUGAGAUGAACAAUGCCCUCCUUUCUCUGUAUACGACUGAUGAUGUUCGUAAAGCCUUGUUCGACAUUGGGGAUUUGAAAGCCCCAGGGCCUGAUGGGCUCCAUGCUAUUUUCUAUAAAAGGUUUUGCCCAAUGUUAGGAGAUGAUCUGAUCGAGGAGGUUUUGAAAGCAGUAAACACUUGCACUAUCCCAUCUGGCUAGAAUGAUACUGCGAUUGUGAUGAUACCAAAAGUCAAUUCUCCGGAGAAGGUAACCCAGUUUAGACCAAUUAGUCUGUGCAGUGUGGUGUAUAAAAUUAUUGCAAAAAUGAUUGCCUCUCGCCUAAAGGUGUUCCUACCAGAUAUUAUUAGCCCAACUCAAAGCGCAUUCGUUCCUGGAAGACUUAUUACGGACAACGUAUUGGUGGCAUACGAAUGAUUCCACACCAUCAAGAAAAAGAGAGCAGGCAAAGAAGGAUUAUGUGCGAUAAAUUUGGAUAUGCAUAAAGCUUAUGACCGGGUUGAAUGGCCUUUUCUCAAGGAGAUUAUGCUCAAACUUGGAUUUCGUGAGGUGUGGGUAAAUUUUAUUAUGGAGUGUGUUUCUACUGUUGAAUAUCGUAUUCGGUUUAAUGCGGAGGGGAGUGAAAGUUUUAAACCUACUAGGGGUCUGAGGCAAGGAGACCCACUGUCUCCUUACCUGUUCCUGUUAUGCACGGAGGGUCUCACAGCUUUACUAACGCAUGCGAAAGAAAAUGGGAAUAUUUCAGGAGUAAAGGUUUGCAGAGAUGCCCCAUCUGUCACGAACCUUCUUUUUGCUGAUGACUCUUUAAUCCUUAUGAAAGCAAAUUUGCAAAGUGCAGAAACAUUAAAAUCAGUUCUAGAUUCGUAUUGCGCAGCUUCAGGCCAGAUGGUCAGUGUCGACAAAUCCAGCAUCUUUUUUAGCCCUAAUACGGGAGUGGACACUAGAGAACAAAUGUGUACAAUUCUCAAUAUAAUGACUGAGGCCUUGAAUGACAAAUAUUUAGGACUGCCUGCCAAUGUGGGUUUAGAUAAAACCGAUUGUUUCCAAUACUUAAUUGAUUGUAUUGUACAGAGAAUUAGUGGUUGGAAGGAGAAACUUCUGUCGGCUGGAGGAAAGGAGAUCUUACAUAAAGCGGUUGUUCAAGCCAUUCCCACCUAUGCAAUGUCGGUCUUUAAAAUUCCUAAAAAAAUUGCAAAGGAAUUAGACGCGAUGGCGCAUUUCUGGUGGGGAGAUGAGGACAACCAAAGGAGGAUGCAUUGGAUGGCUUGGUGGAAAAUGUGUGUACCCAAGAACCAAGGAGGAAUGGGUUUUCGGGAUAUCCAUUGUUUCAAUUUGGCUAUGCUUGCUAAACAGGCUUGGCGUCUUCUCGAGAAUCCGGAUUCUCUAUGUGCUACUAUUUUGAGAGUCAAAUACUAUCCUGACGGUGACUUGUUGAACACUGACCUGAAGAAGGGAUCCUCCUUCACCUGGCAAAGUAUUAUGGCGGGUGUGAGCUCCCUGAAGCGUGGUCAUAUUUGGCGAGUGGGAAACGGGCAGAAUAUUGACAUUUGGGAGGACGCAUGGAUUCCAAAUUGUGCAAACCAUAAAAUUGUUACCCCUAAGGGAGGCCAGUUGUUACGGAAGGUAGCAGAUUUGAUUGAUCCAAUCCUAAAUAGUUGGGAUGAAGAUCUUCUCAGACAGACUCUAUGGCCUAUUGAUGUUCAGCGAGUGCUUACGAUCCCGAUAUCGCAACAUGAUAUGCCAGAUUUCAUAGCUUGGAAUUUCACAAAAAAUGGGAAUUUUUCAGUUCGAACUGCUUAUUUUGUGGAAUGGGACCACCAAUAUGGGAACAAGUUACGACAUACCAAUGGGAUCGGACGUACCACGGUCAAUCCUAUUUGGGAGAGGAUUUGGAAACUUGCUUGUCCAGCAAAGGUUAAAAUAUUUAUUUGGCGUACACUUCACGGCACUAUUCCGUGUCGUGUUAACUUAGCUAAUAGACAUGUGUAA